This 72-nucleotide transfer RNA is filed under the name Fusarium vanettenii 77-13-4. RNAcentral describes it as "tRNA-Trp (CCA) (tRNA-Trp-CCA-1-1)". It matches the Rfam family "tRNA". From Rfam's summary of the family: Transfer RNA (tRNA) molecules are approximately 80 nucleotides in length. The record is from RNAcentral. Lineage: Eukaryota; Fungi; Ascomycota; Sordariomycetes; Hypocreales; Nectriaceae.
GGGGGGCUGGCGCAACGGUAGCGCGUCAGAUUCCAGUCCUGAAGGUUAAGGGUUCAAAUCCCUUGUCCCUCA